GUAGGCGGCAAGCGUUGUCCGGAAUUAUUGGGCGUAAAGCGCGCGCAGGCGGUUCUUUAAGUCUGAUGUGAAAGCCCACGGCUCAACCGUGGAGGGUCAUUGGAAACUGGAGAACUUGAGUACAGAAGAGGAAAGCGGAAUUCCACGUGUAGCGGUGAAAUGCGUAGAGAUGUGGAGGAACACCAGUGGCGAAGGCGGCUUUCUGGUCUGUAACUGACGCUGAGGCGCGAAAGCGUGGGGAGCAAACAGGAUUAGAUACCCUGGUAGUCCACGCCGUAAACGAUGAGUGCUAAGUGUUAGGGGGGUUUCCGCCCCCCUUAGUGCUGCAGCUAACGCAUUAAGCACUCCGCCUGGGAGUACGGCCGCAAGGCUG
RNAcentral lists this ribosomal RNA (373 nucleotides) under uncultured organism. RNAcentral's name for it is "partial 16S ribosomal RNA". It matches the Rfam family "Bacterial small subunit ribosomal RNA", at positions 527 to 896 of the family's 1533-position model. The record is from RNAcentral.